GUUGUAUGGUUAAGUGACUAAGCGUACAUGGUGGAUGCCUUGGCAGUCAGAGGCGAUGAAGGACGUACUAACCUGCGAUAAGCCGUGAGCAGUCGGUAAGAGACAUUACGACUCACGGAUUUCCGAAUGGGGAAACCCACUUAGCAUAAGCUAGGUAUCGCUACGUGAAUACAUAGCGUAGCGAGGCGAACCGGGAGAACUGAAACAUCUAAGUACCCCGAGGAAAAGAAAUCAACCGAGAUUCCCUCAGUAGCGGCGAGCGAACGGGGAUUAGCCCUUAAGCAUCUUGGAAGUUAGUGGAACGGUCCUGGAAAGGCCGGCGAUACAGGGUGAUAGCCCCGUACACGAAAACAACCUUGAUGUGAAAUCGAGUAGGGCGGGACACGUGACAUCCUGUCUGAAUAUGGGGGGACCAUCCUCCAAGGCUAAAUACUCCUGACUGACCGAUAGUGAACCAGUACCGUGAGGGAAAGGCGAAAAGAACCCCUGUGAGGGGAGUGAAAUAGAACCUGAAACCGUGUACGUACAAGCAGUGGGAGCCCUUCGGGGUGACUGCGUACCUUUUGUAUAAUGGGUCAGCGACUUACAUUUUGUAGCGAGGUUAACCGUAUAGGGGAGCCGUAGGGAAACCGAGUCUUAACUGGGCGUCUAGUUGCAAGGUGUAGACCCGAAACCGGGUGAUCUAGCCAUGGGCAGGUUGAAGGUUGAGUAACAUCAACUGGAGGACCGAACCCACUAACGUUGCAAAGUUAGGGGAUGACCUGUGGCUGGGGGUGAAAGGCCAAUCAAACUCGGAGAUAGCUGGUUCUCCCCGAAAGCUAUUUAGGUAGCGCCUCGGACGAAUACUACUGGGGGUAGAGCACUGUUUGGGCUAGGGGGUCAUCCCGACUUACCAACCCCAUGCAAACUCCGAAUACCAGUAAGUAAUAUCCGGGAGACACACGGCGGGUGCUAACGUCCGUCGUGAAGAGGGAAACAACCCAGACCGCCGGCUAAGGUCCCAAAGUUCUGGUUAAGUGGGAAACGAUGUGGGAAGGCUCAGACAGCUAGGAUGUUGGCUUAGAAGCAGCCAUCAUUUAAAGAAAGCGUAAUAGCUCACUAGUCGAGUCGGCCUGCGCGGAAGAUGUAACGGGGCUCAAACCAGGCACCGAAGCCGCGGAUUCACGCUAAGCGUGAGUGGUAGGGGAGCGUUCUGUAAGUCUGCGAAGGUGUAUCGAGAGGUAUGCUGGAGAUAUCAGAAGUGCGAAUGCUGACGUAAGUAACGAUAAAGGGGGUGAAAAGCCUCCUCGCCGGAAGACCAAGGGUUCCUGUCCAACGUUAAUCGGGGCAGGGUGAGUCGACCCCUAAGGCGAGGCCGAAAGGCGUAGUCGAUGGGAAGCAGGUUAAUAUUCCUGCACGACUUGUAAUUGCGAUGGGGGGACGGAGAAGGCUAGGUGGGCCAGGCGACGGUUGUCCUGGUGAAAGUGCGUAGGUGGUGUUUCUAGGCAAAUCCGGAGACACAACACUGAGACACGAGACGAACGCACUACGGUGCGGAAGCCAUUGAUGCCCUGCUUCCAGGAAAAGCCUCUAAGCUUCAGAUUACAAGUCAUCGUACCCCAAACCGACACAGGUGGUCGGGUAGAGAAUACCAAGGCGCUUGAGAGAACUCGGGUGAAGGAACUAGGCAAAAUAGAACCGUAACUUCGGGAGAAGGUUCGCUCUUGACAGUGAAGUCCCUUGCGGAUGGAGCAGUUGGGAGUCGCAGUGACCAGAUGGCUGGGACUGUUUAUCAAAAA
This 1778-nucleotide ribosomal RNA is filed under the name Aeromonas hydrophila. Its description in RNAcentral is "bacterial LSU rRNA". It matches the Rfam family "Bacterial large subunit ribosomal RNA", at positions 1 to 1813 of the family's 2925-position model. Lineage: Bacteria; Pseudomonadati; Pseudomonadota; Gammaproteobacteria; Aeromonadales; Aeromonadaceae. The record is from RNAcentral.